RNAcentral lists this ribosomal RNA (1028 nucleotides) under uncultured Rothia sp. Its description in RNAcentral is "bacterial SSU rRNA". It matches the Rfam family "Bacterial small subunit ribosomal RNA", at positions 488 to 1520 of the family's 1533-position model. The record is from RNAcentral. Lineage: Bacteria; Bacillati; Actinomycetota; Actinomycetes; Micrococcales; Micrococcaceae.
AGCACCGGCUAACUCCGUGCCAGCAGCCGCGGUAAUACGGAGGGUGCAAGCGUUACUCGGAAUCACUGGGCGUAAAGGACGCGUAGGCGGAUUAUCAAGUCUCUUGUGAAAUCCUAUGGCUUAACCAUAGAACUGCUUGGGAAACUGAUAAUCUAGAGUGAGGGAGAGGCAGAUGGAAUUGGUGGUGUAGGGGUAAAAUCCGUAGAGAUCACCAGGAAUACCCAUUGCGAAGGCGAUCUGCUGGAACUCAACUGACGCUAAUGCGUGAAAGCGUGGGGAGCAAACAGGAUUAGAUACCCUGGUAGUCCACGCCCUAAACGAUGUAUACUAGUUGUUGCUAAGCUAGUCUUGGCAGUAAUGCACCUAACGGAUUAAGUAUACCGCCUGGGGAGUACGGUCGCAAGAUUAAAACUCAAAGGAAUAGACGGGGACCCGCACAAGCGGUGGAGCAUGUGGUUUAAUUCGAAGAUACGCGAAGAACCUUACCCGGACUUGAUAUCUAACAAAUCAUCUAGAGAUAGAAGAGUGUCUGCUUGCAGAAAUGUUAAGACAGGUGCUGCACGGCUGUCGUCAGCUCGUGUCGUGAGAUGUUGGGUUAAGUCCCGCAACGAGCGCAACCCACGUCAUUAGUUGCUAACAGUUCGGCUGAGCACUCUAAUGAGACUGCCUUCGUAAGGAGGAGGAAGGUGUGGACGACGUCAAGUCAUCAUGGCCCUUAUGUCCGGGGCGACACACGUGCUACAAUGGCAUAUACAAUGAGAAGCAAUAUCGCGAGAUGGAGCAAAUCUAUAAAAUAUGUCCCAGUUCGGAUUGGAGUCUGCAACUCGACUCCAUGAAGCCGGAAUCGCUAGUAAUCGUAGAUCAGCCAUGCUACGGUGAAUACGUUCCCGGGUCUUGUACUCACCGCCCGUCACACCAUGGGAGUUGAUUUCACUCGAAGCCGGAAUACUAAAUUAGUUACCGUCCACAGUGGAAUCAGCGACUGGGGUGAAGUCGUAACAAGGUAACCGUAGGAGAACCUGCGGUUG